UUAUAUGUUGCACAAUUUUCUCCUUAUUAUUUUCCCACUGGGUUUAAAGGAGUUUUAGCAACAUAUCUACACUAUUCUCCUCAUAUUUUUCCCACAGGGUUUUUGGAGGAGACUUUAAAGAUUAUACAACGAUUUUUCAAGAUGAAGAUGAGGAACAUUCUUAAAGAGAAAAAUUUACAAGGAUUAUUAUUUAUCAAGAUGAUGCACAUUUACAAAGACAAGCAUGGAUUAGGAGGAGUGUUAGGAAUUAAUUAAAUGUAUUAAUUAAUGAGAUAAUCCCUGCGUUGCCGGUUGCCUUGUUUUAGCAACCGUUCCUUGUAAACCGCCUCUGUAACAGGGGUAUAAAUACCCACAUCUUCAUCAAUGAAAAGACUGUUCCAUCAUUCUGCCACUUUCACUACUUUACACAAACCUCAUGGCAGGUCGCACCACGCCCUCAUAGAUCAUAGUUGUCCACGUGUGUCAUCGGUUGUCGCGGCAACCUCACGUCCCGGCUGCAGGCAUGCUCGCCAUUCCUGUUGGUUACAGCUCCCGCCAUGAUACAAUUGCGUCGUCCUCACAAUCGCCGCUCACCUGCAUAAGGUUCCAUGAACGAACGACCAUAAGGUCACACCAUGGAAAGAAUGUAGCAAAAGACCGUGCGAGUCGUAGCAAAAAGCGAUGAUGGUUGCACCAAAAAAACAACAUCGCCGUUGUAGCAAGUCACAACUCUUUCGUGAAUGGAUGUAGCAAAAACUCCCACUAGUCGUAGCAAAUAGGGAUAAAGGUUGAAGCAAAAACAACAUCGUCGCCGUCACGAUUCGCAUCACCCCGUGCACCACCGCUCAAGUUUUGUUGUCGCCACUUUCCAUCGUCAGCUCGUUGUUCAUCCGUUGAAGCUUUUCACAAGACCCAUUGCAGCUAUCUGACAACUGGUUGUAGCUUUUUCAGUUUCAUGCAGUGGUCAUCCUAUUUGAAAGUAUUUAGAAGCUCAUUGUAGCAAAACAAAAAAACGGUUGUAACAAAAUGACAUGUAUCAUCGUCCAGUUCCAGCACUACUCAUGUGUGGAUGUAGCCUUUUCAUGGGUCGGUUUCAACAAAAAAAUCAUCGCUUGCAGCACUCGAGGCCGUCAUCUCCACCAUCGGUAGUAGCUGUGACGGUGUAGUGAGAACCAUGGCCUCACAAACCUUUUAGGCAUGGGGUCUUGACGGCAUAGGGUUGUUGCAAAGCCGCCCGGCAAGGAGCCGAUCUUGCUGGCACACAACAUGCCCAACAAGCACUAUAUCCAUGAAUAAGACCAAGAGCUCGCCAGAGAGCAGAUUUCUCGUGGCGGUACACAUUCCCGGCAAGACAGAACCGGCAAGACAAGAUCCGGCAAGGCUAAGCCGGCAAGCUCAAUGCUGACAAACUCCCUAUCACUCCUGCACUCACACAUGUCCCCAAUAGGUUGUGCGCGUGAGUGGCGGGCGUGCAUGCGCUUAGGUAGAGCUUGUCGGCUACGUGGUGAACCACCGCUCCAGAGUCAACUUUAUCAACACCCCUCUACAUACAUGUCAUCACCGGCAUUCAACCCAUGUAAUUACCAUUUUUUAUUCACAUAUUGUCAUGCAUCCGACAUGACCAAGCCACAACGUAUCACGUCCCACGUGACUAGGCUGUCCACGAGCCUGUCACCAUUUCACAAGUUAUUAACUCAACCAUGCAUGAAAUCAUACCACAUGACAUGUUAUUAAUUCAUAUGCAUCAAGCUUAUCAAGCAAUCAUGUCAGCAAACAUCACAUAAAAUGUUCAAACAUGCUUGCCUAGGUCGACGAAGUCGGAGUCUAGCUCGGCGACGUUGACUGCAACGUCUGUUCCUUCGGUAUCUAUGCCACACAAAUAUCGGGUUCUACCGUAAACACCGAGCAUGAAAUAAAUGUUGUCUCAAAAUAUUUUUAAAUAAAUAUUAGAAAAAACUAGCCAACAGAAUAAAGUUUUCAAAAAAAAAGAAUCAACUCAAAAACCUUUUUAGUUUAAAAUUUAUGAAGAAAACAAAAUGAGGGACGUAUCUGUGAUAACCAGAAAGUUACCCUGGGGCAUACUAGAAAAGAAGAAAACGCUUCGAUUGAAAUACACAAGGUAGAAGGGAAGGCACAUUCCGGUAGAAAGGCGCUUCUGGAAAAUGCUUCGAAAAGAAAAGAAUCCUGAUAGUGGGCCACCACUGUGAGGAUUGAAUCUCCACACCGGCGGCAGAGAGCUCGCUGCUUCGCCGGCGAUGGUGCGCUGCGAACUAGAGAGGGGGGAGGGGACAUGCGCACUCACAUGAUUCCUCCGCAAUGGUGGGUGGUGGAAGGGUUCGUGGGCGAGCACCACGUCGAUGUCGACUCCCACUGCAGCGGAUGGCGGCUUCGAGUGCAGGUCGAUCUCGCCGGAAGGACCUGCAACAAUCGAAUUGGGGCAGGGAUUAGAGGUGCAUGUGCUCAAGGAGUCUACUGGCCAAGUUAGGGCUGCGGAGGCACGCUCACUAGAGUGAAUUUUGCCGGAACCCAAAGCUGAUUGGGGCUACCGGAGGAGGGAAAGACGACCCUCCCUAGGUCCUUCGAGGGGCUGGGGGUGGGUCUGCUGAGAGGUGGAGAGCUGUUGGGUUGCUGUGGAGGCUUGGGGUCCUCUAUUUAUAGGCGUGCGAGGAGGUGCCGAAGCGGGGUUAAUUCCGGAGCCGAUCACGGCGAUCCAGAGGGAUCCAUAGAUGCUUACGACGGCUGGGACACCUACAACAAUUCUAGGGGGUCCCAUUUUACCAAUGAUCGAGCUCUAAUCCACGGUGAUUCCGUUGCUCGAUGGAACGACGCUCAUGGGCGCGGCGGCUGUAGAAGGCGCGCUCUAUGCCUCUCAGGACAUGACGACGAUGUUGUAGCAUGCACAGGGUGGGGGACAGACACGCGGGGUCUCUUGGUGGCUUAGGCGGUGCUGGACUGCGCUGAUUUGCACAAGGGGCUCUAGUGGACGAAACGGGGGUCGCUGAAGCCGUGGUUGUGGCCGACGCUG
Molecule: long non-coding RNA, 3004 nt
Filed under: Hordeum vulgare
Lineage: Eukaryota; Viridiplantae; Streptophyta; Magnoliopsida; Poales; Poaceae
Description: long non-coding RNA (HVUL_LNC018154)
Source: RNAcentral